RNAcentral lists this ribosomal RNA (393 nucleotides) under uncultured bacterium. RNAcentral's name for it is "bacterial SSU rRNA". It matches the Rfam family "Bacterial small subunit ribosomal RNA", at positions 28 to 412 of the family's 1533-position model. The record is from RNAcentral.
GACGAACGCUGGCGGCGUGCUUAACACAUGCAAGUCGAACGAGAAGAGAUGAGAAGCUUGCUUCUUAUUGAUUCGAGUGGCAAACGGGUGAGUAACGCGUAAGCAACCUGCCCUUCAGAGGGGGACAACAGUUGGAAACGACUGCUAAUACCGCAUGACAUAUUGAGAUCGCAUGGUUUUAAUAUUAAAGAUUUAUCGCUGAAAGAUGGGCUCACGUCUGAUUAGUUAGUUGGUGAGGUAACGGCUCACCAAGACUGCGAUCAGUAGCCGGACUGAGAGGUUGAACGGCCACAUUGGGACUGAGAUACGGCCCAGACUCCUACGGGAGGCAGCAGUGGGGAAUAUUGGGCAAUGGGCGAAAGCCUGACCCAGCAACGCCGCGUGAAGGAAGAA